GCGUGCCACGUCACCACGUGUGCAGUAGCCGAGGAGGAGAAGUGGUAGAAGGGUAUCCAUACCUUGUUGCCUUCAUAAACUUUGAUAUUCGUUGAAUGUGACGGUGACUUUGGCAAUGGCCGCCUUUGUGUACCGGUGUGAGGGUGGUGCCUGCAAGGAAGUCCAGCAACUUGUUCAUGUGGGGUGGGAAGGAUUAUAACCUUGAAACAACCCACGUCAGCUGAUUGGUGUCAAGAGUUGAGGUCCAGCCUGAUGUGGGGUGGUUCACUUCACCUAAAGCACGGAGAGAGACCCAGCAUGGGCCCCGACAUAUCUCAUGAGUGAAGGAAAGCAGUCAGUUGCUCUACGUUUGGAAGAUGAAGUUUCGGUAUUUUUCAGUUUAAAGUUAAAUAUAUCCAAUGUGCUUUGGUGAGACAUUUGUGGCGCUGUGACUAGAUAAGUGAAUUCAAAUGAUUAAUAUGAUACCUUGCUGUUAUGACUCCAGGCUAGGGAACUAUUAGGACAGUACAGUGUUAUAUGAGUGUUUGUAUCCUGACAGCAGAACUGUUGUAGAUAUUCUGGAUGAGCCGGAAUUAACUGAAGGGAUCGGAUCUGCGGCACAUCACUGCUGGCCAUCGUGCGGCUGUGGGUGUGCGGGGAGCGGCUCGUGUAUGGGCAGACGCCAGUACCACACCAGGGGAAGACUGUUGUGACCCACGCUCCUGUAGAAUCUCAUAUUUGCCACUUGCGUUGGAAAUUGGAAAGGUUCUGGUGUGUCGGGACGUGAAGGCGUCACAAUCUCUCCCGCUGAGCGGUCCCCCCCUCCCACCGUGGAUUCCUGAUGCUGGCUACCGUUAGCUUAGAAUUUAAUUCUUAAUAAAAAGUUGAAUUACAAUACUCAAGUUGCUGUACAAGCCUCCGGCUCUCCUAGGACUGCAACUUUGGGCCUGCGAUGGGUAGCGGUGGUGAGAGGGGCAGCCUUGCUCUGCUGGAACGCCGAGCUUCUCAAAGUAGCACACACCACUGGGAUCCUGCAACGCCGAGCUUCUCAAAGUAGCACACA
Molecule: long non-coding RNA, 1042 nt
Organism: Scylla paramamosain (green mud crab)
Lineage: Eukaryota; Metazoa; Arthropoda; Malacostraca; Decapoda; Portunidae
Exons: 4
Source: RefSeq, a predicted model, not a curated record